AUGGCAACAUUAUAUGGCUUUACCGAUGAAAAAGUGAAGGCAUGUCUUUCUCCUCACCCCAAGGUAUUAGACGAAUUUGUAUCUGAUAGUGUUAGUGCAGAGAGAGUAGAGAAAUGGCUGAAGAGGAAGAACAACAAAUCAGAAGACCUGCCAAUGCCCCAGGCCAUUGUGCAGCGGGCCCCAGCCCCCAGUCGAAUGCAGAUGCUGCAGGGAAACCCACUGCUGCUGUCCCACAGCCUGCAGGAGCUGCUGGCCAGGGAGGUGGAGGUGGAGACGGAGCUCAUUCCGGAGAAGAAGGGCCUCUUCCUGAAGCAUGUGGUGUAUGAGGUUUCCAGCUUCAAGUCCUCCGUGUACAGACGGUACAACGACUUCGUGGUCUUCCAGGAGACGGUCCUGCACAAGUUCCCCUACUGGAUGGUGCCUGCCCUGCCAUCCAACAGGAUGCUGGGAGCUGACAGGGAGUUCGAGGCCAGGAGGAGAGCUCUGAAGCGCUUUGUUCUCCGAGGAUGUAGUUCUCAAGCUCUUCCUGUCCUUCAGCGGCGUGCAGAACAAGUUAAAGGAAUCGGCACAGUGUUCUGGGGACGAAUUCAUGAACUGUAAGCUGGCUACCAGGGCCGAGAUGUCGUCCCAGCUGACAUCCAAGCUCAGUUUGCCAUCAGCCGGGAGCUGAUCCGGAACACCUACAACAGCUUUCACAAGCUUCGGGACAGGGCUGAGCGGAUCGCGUGGAGGGCCAUCCACAAGGCGGCAGAUCUUCUCAUAUUCGGGAAGGAGCAAAGUGCCACAGGGUCUGACACGACCCCGCUGCCCUCCUGGGCCGCUCUGAACAGCAGCACGUGGGGGUCCCUGAAGCAGGCUCUGAAAGGCCUGUCUGUGGAAUUCGUGCUGCUGGCAGACAAGGCUGCACAACAGGGUAAGCAGGAGGAGAAUGACGUGGUGGAGAAGCUGAGCCUCUUCUUGGAUCUGCUGCAGUCGUAUAACGACCUGUGUGAGUGGCACGAGAAGGGUAUGCUGCACAAGCACCAGCGGGCCUUGCACAAAUACAGCCUGAUGAAGAGGCAGAUGAGUGCCGCUGUGCAGAACCGCGAGCUGGAGUCCGUGGAGCAGCUGGAGUCCCGCAUUGUGGAGCAGGAGAAUGUGAUUCAGACCAUGGAGCUGCGGAACUACUUCUCCCCGUACUGCCUGCACCAGGAGACGCAGCUCAUCCACGUCUACCCACCCCUCACCUCCCACAUCCUCCCAGGUCCAAGGGCACAAGGAGAUGAGCAAGGUGUGGAACGACCUGAGACCCAAGCUCAGCUGCCUCUGCAGGACCACACAGCGCUCUGACCCCACCGCGUUCCCCGCCGCAGUCCCCCCGGAGGACGGCCUGUGUCCUCACUAGCGCGAGGCUAAGGCAGUGCUCCCUGCGGCCACACUAAAACCUCUUUC
Molecule: RNA transcript, 1431 nt
Organism: Sapajus apella (tufted capuchin)
Lineage: Eukaryota; Metazoa; Chordata; Mammalia; Primates; Cebidae
Gene name: sorting nexin-8 pseudogene
Exons: 1
Source: RefSeq, a predicted model, not a curated record